AACAAACGCUGGCGGCAGGCUUCAUACAUGCAAGUCGAGCGGAAAGGCCCUUCGGGGUACUCGAGCGGCGAACGGGUGAGUAACAGGUGGACAAUCUGCCCUCUGGCGGGGGACAACAGCUGGAAACGGCUGCUAAUACCGCAUGUGGUUGCAUGCCCCAGGGUGUGCAAAGAAAGGCGCGUUUGCGUCACCAGAGGAUGAGUCCGCCCCCCAUUAGCUAGUUGGUGUGAUAACAGCGCACCAAGGCUUCGAUGGGUAGCCGAGCUGAGAGGUUGAUCGGCCACACUGGGACUGAGACACGGCCCAGACACCUACGGGUGGCAGCAGUAGGGAAUAUUGGACAAUGGGCGAAAGCCUGAUCCAGCCAUGCCGCGUGAGUGACGAAGGUCUUCGGAUUGUAAAACUCUUUUAUGAGGGAAGAACCGCCUAGGGAGGAAAUGCCCUGGGUCUGACGGUACCUCAGGAAUAAGGGACGGCUAACUCCGU
Molecule: ribosomal RNA, 486 nt
Filed under: uncultured bacterium
Lineage: Bacteria
Description: bacterial SSU rRNA
Rfam family: Bacterial small subunit ribosomal RNA
Source: RNAcentral